CGAAAGCCUGACGGAGCAACGCCGCGUGAGGGAUGGAGGCCUUUGGGCUGUAAACCUCUUUUCUCAAGGAAGAAGAUCUGACGGUACUUGAGGAAUAAGCCACGGCUAACUCCGUGCCAGCAGCCGCGGUAAUACGGGAGUGGCAAGCGUUAUCCGGAAUUAUUGGGCGUAAAGCGUCCGCAGGCGGCCGUUUAAGUCUGUUGUUAAAUCGUGGAGCUCAACUCCAUCUCGGCAAUGGAAACUGUUCGGCUUGAGUAUGGUAGGGGCAGAGGGAAUUUCCGGUGUAGCGGUGAAAUGCGUAGAUAUCGGGAAGAACACCAGUGGCGAAAGCGCUCUGCUGGGCCAUUACUGACGCUCAUGGACGAAAGCCAGGGGAGCGAAAGGGAUUAGAUACCCCUGUAGUCCUGGCCGUAAACGAUGAACACUAGAUGUUGGGGGAAUCGACCCCCUCGGUGUCGUAGCUAACGCGUUAAGUGUUCCGCCUGGGGAGUACGCACGCAAGUGUAAAACUCAAAGGAAUUGACGGGGGCCCGCACAAGCGGUGGAGUAUGUGGUUUAAUUCGAUGCAACGCGAAGAACCUUACCAAGGCUUGACAUCCUGCGAAUCUCUAAGAAAUUAGAGAGUGCCUUCGGGAACGCAGUGACAGGUGGUGCAUGGCUGUCGUCAGCUCGUGUCGUGAGAUGUUGGGUUAAGUCCCGCAACGAGCGCAACCCACGUUUUUAGUUGCCAGCAUUCAGUUGGGCACUCUAGAAAGACUGCCGGUGACAAACCGGAGGAAGGUGUGGACGACGUCAAGUCAUCAUGCCCCUUACGCCUUGGGCUACACACGUACUACAAUGCUGCGGACAAAGAGUAGCGAUCUUGCGAAAGUUAGCUAAUCUCAUAAACCGUGGCUCAGUUCAGAUCGUAGGCUGCAACUCGCCUACGUGAAGGAGGAAUCGCUAGUAAUCGCAGGUCAGCAUACUGCGGUGAAUACGUUCCCGGGCCUUGUACACACCGCCCGUCACACCAUGGAAGUUGGCCAUGCCCGAAGUCGUUACUCUAACCUUUUGGAAGAGGGCGCCGAAGGCAGGGCUAAUGACUGGGGUGAAGUCGUAACAAGGUAGCCGUAGCGGAAGCUGCGGCUGGAUCACCUCCUAA
RNAcentral lists this ribosomal RNA (1141 nucleotides) under Candidatus Synechococcus spongiarum. RNAcentral describes it as "bacterial SSU rRNA". It matches the Rfam family "Bacterial small subunit ribosomal RNA", at positions 376 to 1533 of the family's 1533-position model. Lineage: Bacteria; Bacillati; Cyanobacteriota; Cyanophyceae; Synechococcales; Synechococcaceae. The record is from RNAcentral.